RNAcentral lists this ribosomal RNA (367 nucleotides) under uncultured bacterium. RNAcentral's name for it is "partial 16S ribosomal RNA". It matches the Rfam family "Bacterial small subunit ribosomal RNA", at positions 338 to 722 of the family's 1533-position model. The record is from RNAcentral.
CCUACGGGUGGCAGCAGUAGGGAAUCUUUCUCAAUGGGGGAAACCCUGAAGCAGCAACGCCGCGUGGAGGAUGAAGGUCUUCGGAUUGUAAACUCCUUUUGUCAGAGAAGAUAAUGACGGUAACUAAUGAAUAAAGACCGGCUAACUCCGUGCCAGCAGCCGCGGUCAUACGGAGGGUGCAAGCGUUACCCGGAAUCACUGGGCGUAAGGAGCGCGGAGGGGGGAUAGCAAGUCAGAUGUGAAAUCCUUGGGCUUAACCAUAGAACUGCCUUUGAAACUGUUAUUCUAGAGUAUGGGAGAGGUAAGUGGAAUUCUUGGUGUAGGAGUAAAAUCCGUAGAGAUCAAGAGGAAUACUCAUUGCGAAGGC